GACGAACGCUGGCGGCGUGCCUAAUACAUGCAAGUUGAGCGAUGAAGCUUGGUGCUUGCACCAAUUUGAAGAGCAGCGAACGGGUGAGUAACGCGUGGGGAAUCUGCCUUUGAGCGGGGGACAACAUUUGGAAACGAAUGCUAAUACCGCAUAACAACUUUAAACAUAAGUUUUAAGUUUGAAAGAUGCAAUUGCAUCACUCAAAGAUGAUCCCGCGUUGUAUUAGCUAGUUGGUGAGGUAAAGUCUCACCAAGGCGAUGAUACAUAGCCGACCUGAGAGGGUGAUCGGCCACAUUGGGACUGAGACACGGCCCAAACUCCUACGGGAGGCAGCAGUAGGGAAUCUUCGGCAAUGGACGAAAGUCUGACCGAGCAACGCCGCGUGAGUGAAGAAGGUUUUCGGAUCGUAAAACUCUGUUGGUAGAGAAGAACGUUGGUGAGAGUGGAAAGCUCAUCAAGUGACGGUAACUACCCAGAAAGGGACGGCUAACUACGUG
This 497-nucleotide ribosomal RNA is filed under the name uncultured bacterium. RNAcentral describes it as "partial 16S ribosomal RNA". It matches the Rfam family "Bacterial small subunit ribosomal RNA", at positions 28 to 507 of the family's 1533-position model. The record is from RNAcentral.